Paramuricea clavata is the source of this 1073-nucleotide non-coding RNA. NCBI's taxonomy places the organism in Eukaryota, Metazoa, Cnidaria, Anthozoa, Malacalcyonacea, Plexauridae. The record is from the annotation of a GenBank genome assembly.
UAAGGUGCAAUUGCAUAAAUUGUCUUUGCAUAAUUAUACAGUCGUUGAAUAAAUAACUACAUAAUCAUACAUUCAUUGAAACAUUAUGACCUAAUUAGCAUGUUCGAAUUGGUAUUGUGUUUCGCAAAUUGUUUUGCACGCACGCGAAUAUCAAUUCCAUUUUGACAAUUUCCUUGUAGGGAAAUUUCAUUUUCCAAAGUAGCACUGUGGCAGUGAAUAAAAAUGGCUUGAUAUUAUUUUGUAAAAUGGACUUGGUAUUUGUGAAAUGGACUUGAUAUUUGUACAAUGGACUUGGUAUUUGUACAAUGGACUUGGUAUUUUUAAAAUGGACUUGAUAUUUGUAAAAUGGACUUGGUAUUUGAGAAAAUGGAUUUGGUAUUUGUAAAAUGGACUUGCUAUUUGUAAAAUGGACUUGGUAUUUGAGAAAAUGGACCCAAUAUUUGUAAAAUGGACUUGGUAUUUGAGAAAAUGGACUUGGUAUUUGUAAAAUGGACUUGGUAUUUGAGAAAAUGGACUUGGUAUUUCAUUGUUCGUAAUUUUGUCCGCUUUGGGCAAGCAUAUGCAAGUUGCAAGAAAAAUUGCACCAUGUAACAUGGCCUUAACUUCAAAAAGAUUUGUCGACAGGGGGUAUAUUCGAACAGCUUAUUAGUUUUCGCCACCUUACAUGUUUAUUGCCUUUUCAACCGAUCGUGAAAACACAUUACCUUACACAUUUCCUCGUUUUAAAUAUAUUUGGCCAUUUUUUUAAAUUUUUCGGGGGGGGGGGGUGCUACCCCCUACUAAUCCAUAUCUAAAUGAUUUGCAAAAUAACUGACAAAUUCUGAUUUGUUGCAUUUAACCCAUAUGCAUCCAGCUUUAUUAAUUUACUCUGUCCAAACCAGAUUAUUUUAUUCAAUAGAGGGAAGAGCCUUGCUCAUUAUUAAAUGGGUUAUAAACAAACAUAAUUAUUAACCCAUUUGACCCAAAAAAGUUUCUCCUUGACAAUAAUUAAAAUUGACAAAGUUAAAUCGUACCUCAAAAUUGGGUUGUUCCACACAAGAUCCAUAUUCCCCUCAUGGAGGAAAUUUCUGCCG